RNAcentral lists this long non-coding RNA (265 nucleotides) under Panax ginseng (ginseng). RNAcentral's name for it is "long non-coding RNA (PGIN_LNC017531)". The record is from RNAcentral. Lineage: Eukaryota; Viridiplantae; Streptophyta; Magnoliopsida; Apiales; Araliaceae.
ACUGCAGUUUUUGAUCUAAAACUUGUUGUCUAUUAUAUUCUAUCAGUUGUUAUACUGUUGAAGGCUAUUGAUAACUUAUUAUGUAUUAUCUUAGUCAUAAUAUUUCUUACUGGGCUAGUUGAGCUCACCCUUUUACUUUUAUUGUUCUCUUCAAGAAAUGAGAACGUAGCUGGGACUAGUCGGGGAACAGAGUGAUGGUCCUAGAUGGACCACUAGUAGUCCUCACUAUUCUGUGAAAUAGUGUGAUAAUAAAUGUAAUGAGGAC